This 459-nucleotide ribosomal RNA is filed under the name uncultured bacterium. Its description in RNAcentral is "partial 16S ribosomal RNA". It matches the Rfam family "Bacterial small subunit ribosomal RNA", at positions 338 to 795 of the family's 1533-position model. The record is from RNAcentral.
CCUACGGGGGGCAGCAGUGAGGAAUAUUGGUCAAUGGGCGCGAGCCUGAACCAGCCAAGUCGCGUGAGGGAUGAAGGUUCUAUGGAUCGUAAACCUCUUUUAUAAGGGAAUAAAGUGUGGGACGUGUCCUAUUUUGUAUGUACCUUAUGAAUAAGGAUCGGCUAACUCCGUGCCAGCAGCCGCGGUAAUACGGAGGAUGCGAGCGUUAUCCGGAUUUAUUGGGUUUAAAGGGUGCGCAGGCGGAUUUUUAAGUCAGCGGUCAAAUCGUGGGGCUCAACCCCAUCCAGCCGUUGAAACUGGGGAUCUAGAGUGUGCGAGAGGUAUGCGGAAUGCGUGGUGUAGCGGUGAAAUGCAUAGAUAUCACGCAGAACCCCGAUUGCGAAGGCAGCAUACCGGUGCACAACUGACGCUCAGGCACGAAAGCGUGGGUAUCGAACAGGAUUAGAUACCCUUGUAGUC